CCCCUAGAUGUUCUGGGCCGCACGCGCGCUACACUGAACAGUUCAACAAGUCUUAACCUUGGCCGAUAGGUCUGGGUAAUCUUUGAACGCUGUUCGUGAUUGGGAUAGACCUUUGCAAUUAUGGGUCUUCAACGAGGAAUUCCUAGUAAACGCAGUUCAUCAAACUGCAUUGAUUACGUCCCUGCCCUUUGUACACACCGCCCGUCGCACCUACCGAUUGAAUGGUCCGGUGAAGCCUCGGGAUUGUGGCUGGUUUCCUUUAUUGGAGGUCGGUUGCGAGAACUUGUCUAAACCUUAUCAUUUAGAGGAAGGUGAAGUCGUAACA
RNAcentral lists this ribosomal RNA (325 nucleotides) under uncultured eukaryote. Its description in RNAcentral is "partial 18S ribosomal RNA". It matches the Rfam family "Eukaryotic small subunit ribosomal RNA", at positions 1470 to 1796 of the family's 1831-position model. The record is from RNAcentral.